AUUUUUAUAAGCAUUAGUUUUGGGCAAUUUGGAUUUGUAAUGACUUUGUAAGAGCUUUACAAAGUCAAGUUUGUUUUCAGAUGACUUGGAUUUUGUGAAAUAAAAUAGGAUUGACGUUUCUAGUGAUUUCAAGAGUUUUGUAUCAUAUCUAUGGGUGAAAUUUUGUAGAUUAAUGGUCAUAGUUGUGCUUAAUAUGUAUUGUGAAUCUUAGCUUGAUCUAACGAUUGAAUUAAGGAUUAUUGAGGUUUAAGUGGGUCAAGGUCUCAAAAAGUAGAAUUUUAGGUCUAAUGAGGGUUUUUAAGAUUUAUUGUAAUUUACUAGUUGGAUUGGAGUAAAAUUUAUGUGUGAGAAUAUUAGACUUAUUUUUCUAUGUAUAUGAGAAUUUUGAGAUCAAUUGAAUGGUGAAAAGGAGAGAUAUUGGCUCUAAGAGAUUGAUAUCAAGGUCAGAGAAGGAGGCCGACCAAUAUCCAAGCAUGUUUUUGAGGCUAUCGUCUAUUUGAUAAUUUUGAUUGUUUUCAAAAAAAAAUUUGCUUUUUUUUAAUGUAAUUAUUAAAAAACGUACAAAUUUUGAAUUAAGAUCAAUAAUUCAUUCAUUAGUAAUUGAGAUUUAAAUCUGUUAUAAGAAUUACUAGGAUUUGAUUUAGGAUUUAAGGUUUGGUUUAGGAUUUGGUUAGGGUUUGAUUUAGGAUUUAGGAUUUGGUUAGGAUUUGAUUUAGAGUUUGGAUUUGAUUAGGAUUUGAUUUAGAGUUUAAUUAGGAUUUGAUUUAGGAUUUAAGAUUUUAUUAGAGUUUAUUUAGGAUUUGUUUAGGAUUUAAGAUUUAGUGAGUUUUUGGCCUAAAGUUUGAAUGAAGUCCAAUAGGAUUUUAACAAGGAUUAAAUUAAGAUUGAAUUGAGAUGUAUUUGAGAUAUAUUUAUGAUCAUUCUAAUAUUUCUUUAAGAUUUCUUAUUGUUUCUUUAUAAUUCCUUUGAGGUUUC
RNAcentral lists this long non-coding RNA (975 nucleotides) under Physcomitrium patens. RNAcentral describes it as "long non-coding RNA (PPAT_LNC006749)". The record is from RNAcentral. Lineage: Eukaryota; Viridiplantae; Streptophyta; Bryopsida; Funariales; Funariaceae.